RNAcentral lists this transfer RNA (59 nucleotides) under Pristaulacus compressus. Its description in RNAcentral is "tRNA-Asp". Lineage: Eukaryota; Metazoa; Arthropoda; Insecta; Hymenoptera; Aulacidae. The record is from RNAcentral.
UUAGAAUUAGUUAAAUAAUAACAUUAAAAUGUCAUUUUAAAAUUAUAUUUUAUUCUAAU